RNAcentral lists this ribosomal RNA (389 nucleotides) under uncultured bacterium. RNAcentral describes it as "bacterial SSU rRNA". It matches the Rfam family "Bacterial small subunit ribosomal RNA", at positions 28 to 417 of the family's 1533-position model. The record is from RNAcentral.
GACGAACGCUGGCGGCGUGCUUAACACAUGCAAGUCGAGCGGUAAGGCCCUUUCGGGGGUACGACGAGCGGCGAACGGGUGAGUAACACGUGGGUGACCUGCCCUCAGCUCUGGGAUAAGCCUGGGAAACCGGGUCUAAUACUGGAUAUGACUCCAUGACGCAUGUUGUGGGGUGGAAAGCCUUGUGCGGCUGAGGAUGGGCCCGCGGCCUAUCAGCUUGUUGGUGGGGUGAGGCCUACCAAGGCGACGACGGGUAGCCGGCCUGAGAGGGCGACCGGCCACACUGGGACUGAGACACGGCCCAGACUCCUACGGGGAGGCAGCAGUGGGGAAUCUUGCGCAAUGGGCGAAAGCCUGACGCAGCGACGCCGCGUGAGGGAUGACGGCCU